GACGAACGCUGGCGGCGUGCUUAACACAUGCAAGUCGAACGGAAAGGCCCUGCUUUUGUGGGGUGCUCGAGUGGCGAACGGGUGAGUAACACGUGAGUAACCUGCCCUUGACUUUGGGAUAACUUCAGGAAACUGGGGCUAAUACCGGAUAGGAGCUCCUGCUGCCUGGUGGGGGUUGGAAAGUUUCGGCGGUUGGGGAUGGACUCGCGGCUUAUCAGCUUGUUGGUGGGGUAGUGGCUUACCAAGGCUUUGACGGGUAGCCGGCCUGAGAGGGUGACCGGCCACAUUGGGACUGAGAUACGGCCCAGACUCCUACGGGAGGCAGCAGUGGGGAAUAUUGCACAAUGGGCGGAAGCCUGAUGCAGCAACGCCGCGUGCGGGAUGACGGCCUUCGGGUUGUAAACCGCUUUCGCCUGUGACGAAGCGUGAGUGACGGUAAUGGGUAAAGAAGCACCGGCUAACUACUUG
Molecule: ribosomal RNA, 468 nt
Filed under: uncultured bacterium
Lineage: Bacteria
Description: partial 16S ribosomal RNA
Rfam family: Bacterial small subunit ribosomal RNA
Source: RNAcentral